RNAcentral lists this non-coding RNA (28 nucleotides) under Rattus norvegicus (Norway rat). The record is from RNAcentral. Lineage: Eukaryota; Metazoa; Chordata; Mammalia; Rodentia; Muridae.
UUUUUCUUUUUGUCUUUUUCCUGGCUGC